RNAcentral lists this ribosomal RNA (256 nucleotides) under uncultured bacterium. RNAcentral describes it as "partial 16S ribosomal RNA". It matches the Rfam family "Bacterial small subunit ribosomal RNA", at positions 524 to 776 of the family's 1533-position model. The record is from RNAcentral.
UACGGGGGGAGCAAGCGUUGUUCGGAUUACUGGCGUAAAGGGCGCGUAGGCGGUCGUGACAAGUCACUUGUGAAAUCUCCGGGCUUAACUCGGAACGGUCAAGUGAUACUGUCGGACUAGAGUACAGAAGGGGCAACUGGAAUUCUCGGUGUAGCGGUGAAAUGCGUAGAUAUCGAGGGGAACACCUGCGGCGAAGGCGGGAUUGCUGGGCUGAUACUGACGCUGAGGCGCGAAAAGCCAGGGGAGGCGAAACGGG